Molecule: long non-coding RNA, 1479 nt
Organism: Eublepharis macularius
Lineage: Eukaryota; Metazoa; Chordata; Lepidosauria; Squamata; Eublepharidae
Exons: 3
Source: RefSeq, a predicted model, not a curated record
GCUACUCUACUAAAGUACAAGAGCAAAACUAACAUCAGAAGAGAGAAUCUUGUUCAGCACUGAAAUCGGAAGAAUGACAACAAUGGAACUUUAAGGCCCCAACAAGGUCAAGAGAGACUGCUGGAUCACCGUCGGAGUGAUUGCAGCGGCAUUCAUCAGAAACCCAGCUGUGACAGUUUCUUGAAAACAGUCAAAUCAACCUGGAAACACAGAGAAAUCCCAUAAUGCGCCUGUGAUCUAUGUAUCAUGUGAACAUUGCUACUGAGGAAACAUUCAUCAAGCAGCAGUAUCUGUUUGGUUCUCCUCAAAAGUUCUACAUCCAAACAGACAUCUGCCCUUCAAGGUAUCUAUGGUUGCAGCUCCUGAAAUAAAAUCUCUUUCCUCUCCUAAAGGCCUCUUUCCUGCUGGAGCCAUGGAGUGUGACAAUGGUGUUUGUAUCCAAUCUGUCAAACGCCAUUAUCACACUAAAUAGCUACUGUUCGAUAACUCAUCAGCUGAGCAAAGGAGAGGAAGAAAAUUAUUUCCACGGUACAUUUCCUGGCAAAGCUGGAGGAAUGAGAGAACAACAUGCCAGGGCAACUCUCUGCUUUUGAUCAGUGCAUCCCGCAAUAAAUAAAACGGCUUGCCAAAAGCCCUUUCUUUAAAGUGCUCUUUGUGAUCCUGCUUGUUGUGUUAAGAUGUGCGUGAGUCAUUUUGCGUUCAUGGAUUGCAAAGAUACUUCAGUGAUCAGCACAAGCAAUUAUGUAUAUUCGGUCUUACAUUACAAGAAUCAGCCUACACAACUGUCGUACUUUUUUUUUAAAAAGCAUUGUACGUGCUUGUUCCCUUUAUUAACAAGUUAAUAAUCACGUCUAUUUUCGUCUGGAACAGGAGCUCCAUUGUCGUAUUGACUUUUGAUGAACGAGUUUGAGAAUUGAGGCACAAUUCCAUUCUUGGCGCUCUGCUGUAUACAGCUCAGCUGUGUAUACAUUCAUCAUUUCGCCAAAGACUGAAGGGAAUUUCUGCCAACCUGUCAGGCUGUCUGGCUAUUGGCAAGAAAGCAACCAAGAUCCAUUUCCAUAAUUGCUAUAUAAAUAUUCCAUAGGUAUGGAGAUCUUAUUAAAACCAACGGGGAGAACGAGAUGCUGGGUGCCAGUACCUGCGAAGCUUCCAGCUUAUGCCAAAGAAGACAUUACAGCUGAUGCUCUGUUCCCAGUCAAGCACUUGCCCCCAUCCCUAUACUACUUGAUCUGUGACAGAAAUAAAAUUAAAGCAAUCUUUCCCAUGUUUUGCAGCCACAAAGCCAUGUUUCCCACUGAGUAGGGAGCGUGGCCAGUUGGUGAUGAGUAUACCUGUACGAGACAUAUGUUUGCAAACAUGUAUUUGUUAUAUUCACACUUUGUUUUUAGUGUAUGCAACACACAAUGUGUGAAGUGUCCGUAAGGUAUUGUAAUAUUUGCAUUAAUUAAAAGAAUAUUCUGCGUGAAAGCAAAAACAUUA